Molecule: antisense RNA, 69 nt
Filed under: Mycobacterium fragae
Lineage: Bacteria; Bacillati; Actinomycetota; Actinomycetes; Mycobacteriales; Mycobacteriaceae
Description: ASpks TB sRNA
Rfam family: ASpks TB sRNA
Source: Rfam by way of RNAcentral
CUUGAUCGAGCCCAACCACAGUGGCUCGGUGCGAUCCUGGCCGUAGGUCGCCAACAACGCCUGGGCCUC